UGCUCUGCUCUGAUAUAAGCCCGUUCAGUUGCGCUUCUCUGACCGCUCUCUCCAUCUCUAUCAAACCUCUUUUACUGUUAGGUAUGAACUCAACUCUUCAAAAUUCCUUUCAGAAGCAAAAUGCAAUCGAAAUCCUUCUCUUUCUUCAAAAUUCCGUACAUCCUCUAAUCAAAUUGUUUGAUUUUGGUACGCGAUUGCAAUUUUUGUUAAAAGUUUUUCUUUUUCCGUUCAAUCGAUCACUACAUGAAUCGUAAUGCAUGUUAAUUGGCGUGAUUCAAUUCAGCUUUUGCUGUUUCUUUCCUGAGAAAGGCCGCAAGAGAACACUGACACGCGAAAUUCAAUAUCUUUUUCUGUUUGAUAACGGUCGGGUCCGGGCCAGCUAAAUUCAAUAUCUUUAUGCUUUUUACAUUCUUUUGAUAGUAACGUAAUUUCUUUACCACUUGUUAGUUUGUAUCCGUUUUAAUUGUUUUAACGUUUUGCUUCUUUUUUGAACUUUUGAAGAUCUUAAGUUGGCAAUUAUAAUCAUUUGUAAUCACGAUCUUAGCAAUUAUGGAAAAGCCAUCGCUUCGUUUUUCAGGUCCGUUAUGUCGCUUCUUUCAUUGUAUUGUAGUCGAUCAAAUAAUUUUCUUUUGUAGCACGCAUUACUUAGUUUUGUUACUUUUUGCUCGUAUCUAGCUUAGUCGCAUAUGUUGGUUCAGGAUUUAAAAUCAAUGAGUAUACGGUCUAACAUAUACCCGAGGCAGUGUGUUUUCACUUCCCCUAUGUUGGAUCCACUUGUGCUCAGAGUUAUUGGAAUUUCAUUUCUUUAAGGACGCUAAAAAGCAUCCUUUUCGUAUUUGAUGUUAAGCUUUAGGAGUACUGGAGUACUAGUUUUGCUAGUGGUACUCCAGCUUGUUGAAUAUUUGGUGCCUGCGUAUUUGUUGUCACAUGUCAACUUUUCUUUUGUUUGUUUCUUUUCUGCUUUGUUUAUUGCUAUUGAUUCAUCAUUCCAGUUCGAAGAACCAUAUCUUGAUAUUUAAAAUGGUUAUUGUACAGCUGGUGUACGUUAGACUAGGAGAGAAUCAUGCUUUAUGCCUGUGUGGUAUAAUCUUAGUACUGUGUUAUGGUUGUGCGCGUGGUGCGUUUUCCUUCCUUUAGACAUUAUCUGAAAUAGUAAUCCUUUGGAAAUAUGUGAACUCACGACCUCCAUAAGUAUGUAUGAAAAAAAAGUAGAGGUGUAUAUAGGUCGNNNNNNNNNNNNNNNNNNNNNNNNNNNNNNNNNNNNNNNNNNNNNNNNNNNNNNNNNNNNNNNNNNNNNNNNNNNNNNNNNNNNNNNNNNNNNNNNNNNNNNNNNNNNNNNNNNNNNNNNNNNNNNNNNNNNNNNNNNNNNNNNNNNNNNNNNNNNNNNNNNNNNNNNNNNNNNNNNNNNNNNNNNNNNNNNNNNNNNNNNNNNNNNNNNNNNNNNNNNNNNNNNNNNNNNNNNNNNNNNNNNNNNNNNNNNNNNNNNNNNNNNNNNNNNNNNNNNNNNNNNNNNNNNNNNNNNNNNNNNNNNNNNNNNNNNNNNNNNNNNNNNNNNNNNNNNNNNNNNNNNNNNNNNNNNNNNNNNNNNNNNNNNNNNNNNNNNNNNNNNNNNNNUAAUUAAUAAGUCAUAAUGAAAAUUAACAUAAUCUGAAAAUACUAUAUAGGUCAUGCUAAAAUAAGUAUAGCUGAUAAGUACUAAUAUUAAUUACAUAAUUAAGUACUAAAGAAAAAGAUAAACUAAGUUAUGCAUUUUCAUUAUAAACCAAUGUAAAACUAAAAUAAUUAUCCAACACUAUCGUCAUUCCUAGUAUUGAAUUGAAUUUCUCUUGUUAGCAUUAUUAUUGAUUUGAACUUUGUUUGAAUUACUACAUUUAUGGGCUAUAAAAUAUUUUUACCAUUCAAGAAUGUUAAGUCUAAACUUGAAAUAAUACGUUAAAAGAUAAAACUGUGAAAAAGUUUAAGAAAUAUUUAAAAAUUAUAUUACAAUAGAUAUUUAAAUGUAUAAAAUAUUUUUAAAAAUUAUAUAAAUGUACUAUCGGGUUGGUUUGGUUUCGGUUUGAUUUUUUUUAGUUAAAACCAAACCAAACCAAUUAUGGUCGGGUUUUAUUUUCCAAUACCAAACCACAUCCCUUUUUUUUCCGGUUUGACUCGGAUUAUCGAUUUGGUGGGGUUUAUCGGUUUUCUUUGUACACCCCCUAAAAACAAGUAUAGAGAGAAAAUAAGUAUAGAUAGAGUUAGAUAUAUAUCUUUUAGAACUCACAACAUGUACAUCCAAUCCACCGAUGGUACGACCCCAUGUAACUUCCAGCGGCUUCACAUAUUAAAAGAACAUGGACGUCUUCACAACAAUGGUCUGUACUAGACGAUGGACUAGAAUACCAACUCGCAUCUAGUAAACUUGUCGACGCCAAGGUACCCUUGCUUAGGAGUCUUUGACAUAUUGCAAGGUUUUUCCCCUUCAAGUUAGUGAUGUAGGGUCUCAUAAUCCAAUAGACGUCCCAUUAUUAUAUUAAUUAUAUCAUAUCUUUGGUCUUUCUUUAUUCUUGCGCUAUAAUGAAAUAAGGCCUCUCUUGCUUCAAAGGGGAGUGGUCUUGCCGUCAAAGAGCUGCAGUGGCAAAAUUGAGAACCAAUGUAUGACUCAAGCAAAGACGACUCUAGGUGAGUUCUUUGUGCGAAUUAUCUGAUAUCUAUAUUGGUGGGAGAUAACAGAAACCCGGCGGACUAGUCAAGAUAGCCUAAGUUGUUCCACAAACCACCAUCAUGAAAAUAAAUAAAUAAAUAAAUUAGGCUUCUUCAUUGCAAGUAAGAAUUCAUCUUGUUUAGUUAAUUCAUUUGUUUAAAUACUUUCUUGCUCCACACAAAAAAGUCUAAAAUUAAACCAUGGAAAAUUUUGGUUCUCAGCAACUAAUUUGAUGCCCAAAAUUUGUGUUCUCAUUCAAUUUAUGGGCCCAUUUGUCAUUUAUUAGAUAGAAUUCCAUAGAGACCAAACCUCGAAUCAAUCAUUUUUCUUGAGUGGUAUGAGGAGAAAACUUCUUAUAUGUUUCUAGAGAGGGGGGGGGGUUGUCAUCUACAUCAUCCAAAUAAGUCAUCUAUCAAAUCGUUGCAAUUAAUGUUUGAUUCACGAGAGAAGGAUAAGAUCUUCGGAAAGUGGGUUUAGUUUGGUUUUUCAUUCAAUUUGUGUUUCUCCCUAUUCCAAUCCAUAUUUAAGUUCUAGUUUACUAUAUGUUGUUAAAAUUUUGAUUUUGACCACACGAUCACAUGAUCCUACUGUCUAAAUUUGGGAAAUUGAUUCAUAUUGGUAGGUAGAAACAAAGAGGGCUGAGGUACCAUUAUUGUAGUAGAUUUUGAUGUUAUCGGAUCACAUAAGAUUGCAAAAUCUUAGUGAUCCUAUUAGUAUUACCUGUUUAUGAUUUCUCUCAGAAAAUGUUGCUCCCAUAUUAUUAAACUAAAUGCAUUUUACCUUAUACUUAAGUAUAAACCGCAUGCACUAGGACAAGAAGCAACACCUAACCUUUGUGUUUGCUAUACUUCCUUUUGGAAAGCUUUUUAUAGAUGUGGACUCUUGUGAAAAGGUGUGUGCAUAGUUCAUGAUGCCAUGAAUUUUUUUGGACGUAUUGUCAUAUUUUGACUAGAUUAUAAAUUUAAUUGCAUCAUACAAUACUAAUCGAUAGUUAUAUCCUUUUAAAAAAUUUGACUUUUUUUGUAUUUAACAUAUUCUAACACCUUAAAGUUCAAACUUCUGUGAGCAUAUAAUUCAUUUUCACAUAGUUUUAGAAUAUAUUUGUCCUGUUUAAAAUGUUUGAGAUAACUGUUUUGUUUUUGCGUUUUUUUGCCUUAACCGAAUAUUCUUGAUAAAAAAAAAAUUCAUGUCGAAUUAUUUGAGGCAGAGGCAGUAACACAUAUUCAAGUCAAUAAAUAGUAGCUGUUUCAUCAGUUUCUUGUAGUAUCUUAGUACCCUUGAAACAAUUCUUUGGUUUUUUCCUGAGAUAUGGAUGUUAAUCUUGUGUCCAUCUCCAUAUCAACUUUCAGUUAAUUUGUCACAUGAUGAAGUCACGCAUCUUAUGGGAUUCCAUUCUGGCCACUCAUUAUUUUGCAUGGUUAAGUGAUGAAACAAUUAAAAUGUAAAAAAUGGCAUGUGCUUCUCUAUCCAUGCCGCUUUUCAUCCAUCACUUUUGCUAUCUCUCCCUGCCCCUGAAAGUUAUUAGAAACGUGAUUGUCUACUCUAGCUUUCCGGGAAAGUGGCUAGGGUAAAAAUAGUUUUUGCGAUAUUGUUUAACUCUAGGUUGACAUGCAAUUUCACUUGAGUGGGGGAUUAUCUCAAUAGACGGCAUUUUGAACCAAAACUCAAAGUUGUGAUACUAAACUGAAAUUUCUAUGAUAUCUUUGGCUUUUGUAGUACAUUGAAAUGGCAUUUAUUGUGCAAACUAGUCCGAUAGUCUUUAGCAUUGGGAUCUUUGGAAUCCAGAAAUGACUUCAUUUAAGCAAGAUUUCAGCAUAUUUUUUAACUAGCUAAGAAUGUGGUGAUCACUUUACGGGGCAUAUCUCGUGUACUUUACUGAAUUGAUCUACUUCUCGCCGUGCAUAUUUCCCCAUUAUUUAGUCUUUCAUGUUGUUCAUUCUUUUUUCCUCUUUUUCAGUGACCUACCACUAUAAGAUUUCAUUAACUGAUGUUUUUUUAUCAUUGCUGGGUAAGACUUUACCAAUAUUACUGUUACAUUUUCUUUUUUCUAGGUAGAUGUUGAAAGUCGGCAUGGAUGUGAAUAUGAAGUUAGCAUCUCAUUGCUGAUGCUUUUGCAAUGCAUAUUGAUACAGCUUUUAGGUAUAUCUUAGUGUACUCUUUGAUCAGUUUUCUGGUCUGCUCUUAUUCUGUUUGCUUCUGGUGCUUUUCUCGCGUAAUUUAUCUGAGAUGCAACUGUUGUCUGCAUAGUAUUUCUAUUUAGUUUUAAUCUGUCAGAUUAAGUGCAUUCCUAACUAAUAGGCAUAUGCAUCACAAGCAUGAAGUAUCAAGACAGUUGAAGAACAUUAGCUGUGCUAACAUUUUCUUUAUUCAUAGUUAAACAUGAUUUGGGUGGCUGUUUUGUGGAUACCUAUUACAUGCCAACUUGCUACAUUUACCAGGUCAAUUGGCCAAUUUUCCCUGACAUCUAUGGGUUCUAUACCAGUCUUUAAUAAUUUAAACAUAUAUUCAUGCGCAUGGAGUACUUGAUCGAGAAGAGAGCUUAAUGGCACAGUCUGCAUCAACUCCACUGCUGCAGUGAUAGCCUGCAGCAUUCCAGUAAGACAAGAAUCAAGGAUCCAGAUAGUGGGGGAGUUUGUUUGGUGCUUUCAAAUUAUAUGGACGUGAAAGUUACCCCAAUUUUGUAGUUCCUGGUGUUUCAUAGUGUUGUUGCUGAGGCUGGCUUAGCUGGAGAUGAAGAGGUGCAUGAGGGUCCUCAUUGACGCGUAAACUGUUUGAAUUCAUGGCAUUUCUGCUCACUGCAUUUGCAUCUCUAGUUCCAUAAACCUGAUUUCCGGCAGAACAUGAAGAAAAAUAUUUGAAGCAGAAUGACUAAAGUUUUUCGUCUUGAUUUUUAUUACACAAGGAAAUUAUUAUCUACUAGCGUAAGUGAAAUCUUUUCUAGUGAUAUACAUCGAUACCUUCUUAUACAAUUCUGUAUUUUCUUGACGAACUAGGUCUAGCUUCUUAUAAAGUUCCAUGCUUUCUUGAUGGCUGAGAUUUCCCUGUAAAUAAACAGAUGGGAGUUUAGCUUCUCAGAGAAAUUCAUAGGAUAAUUACAAGAAGUGACUGCAGUUAUGUGGUUGACCUUUUGGUUUAGUUCUUGCACCUCAUCAAUCAGAAUUUGGUCCUACAGAAAGGAGUGGUUGUCAGUGCUAUUUAUACAAAUAAUAUACGGCACAUUUGGAGGUGAAAGUUCAUACCUUUCUCAUACGGAUGCCACGAAGACUCAUUUCGAGUUGCUUCUCCAAGUUUUGUAAAUCUUUGACAUUCAAUCCAGAUAGCUCUUCACCCUUCAUUUUUCUGCAGGAGAAAAAAUCUUUUAAGCCAAUCUAGGCCUUUAACAUAACAUCCAUGAUUUAACUACAGACUAGUAGUGUUCGUUUCUCUUCUAGAAGUAUCUAUAUUACUUAUAAAAAAAGAACAAAAAAGCUAUAGCUACACAAUUCGUGGUGUUUUGGUAUGACAAUCUUGACAGUUUGAGCGCUCACAAAAAUCCGCAAUACCGUAUGAUAUUACAAAAAUCCAACUUUCACUGGUUUUGUAAGCUUAUACUGGUGAGGCACAUCAUGUGCAGUCCUCCUAAAUCUGCAUCUGAUUUACUAUAUAGUAACUAUUAUAAUGGAGGUUACCGUGUACUAUAUUAUAUUAAGUAUAAGGUAAGUCCAUGCUAACAAUUUAUUAAUAUAAAGAUUAUGUGUUCAUUGUGAGUUGUGCUUAAUAUAAUUCUUGUCGAGGGAAUAUAGUGGCUAGUCAUUUGAGUUUCCCUUGAUCGGACUAAUGGUAGUGAAUGUAUUUCAAGAAGUAUAUUUCCACGGGAAUGCCUCAUCCUUUUUUACUGUUAUGCAACACUUGGUAGAAUGUUAGUGUUAGUUUUAUUGCACCAUAGGUAUGUGUAUCCUCUUCUAAAUAUAUCAAUGCCUAUUUAGAAUAUCUCUCAUAUUCUCGUAUGUUAUGAGAGCCUCCAUGAUCAUAGUAUAGACCUAAGUCACUUUCUCGUCCAGCUGUCUGUCCCUAACAACAUCCACCUUACCAAAGUUUUUCCUUUAACUAUUUUAAAUUUUUCUCAUCAUCGUUCUUGGGGUAAUCAGUGGCAUGGCAUCGCAUCUCUUUCCUGCCACUAUUUUGGGCUUGCAUGCUACCAGAAAUUUUCAGACAUCUUCCUGCCAAUAUUCCGCAGGCACCAUUUUGGUUACUGUUCAGCUGCCAUUUAAGACUUGGUUGCCACACCGGUGAUGUCUGGGAAAAUUAUCAUAGCACCUUCCUUUCUUGUGUUUGAAGAUAGGUUUCCUUCUGUGUGUGCUGCACAUUAACCAUAACUUUCUCUGGCUUUUGGUUUUGGGGGUGCAGUGGGGGUUAUGGACUUAUGGUGUCUCUUCCCAUUCACUUUUUUGGCAAUUAUUCACCCACCACUCAGGAAUCUAUUCUUUGUUCAGGCAAAUUUAUUCUGUUCCAAGUUUUAUUCAAAAUAAGCGACUUAAGUUGGUUUUCCACCUUGAGUUUAAAGGGGCAGGCUAGAAUGUUAAGCUAUACUGUCCCAUCACCCAUGUUGGAGAAAUAUAUUUCAACCCCAUAAAUAGGUGUUCCCAAAGUUAAAAAAGUUAUUCUCCAGAUCGCCUUUCAUUUUCUAACACCACCUGCCUGGUGGGAUCUUAAAUGUCCUUUCUGUUAGCACUUAUAGAUUUGAUACUUUCGGGAGAGUUUCGAGUGGACAUUUGGGUUUUUGAGCCUUCUUAUUUCAAAACUAAAAUGUUUCAAGCUAUCUAUUCUGGUCGUUUCAGUGUUCAAUAUCCAUGAAGAUAAUAGAGGGGCAUCCCUACACAUUGCACACCUACCUCUAGUAGAACCUUUGAAGUUUCCUUUCUUGGCACAAGUUUAGUUUGUGUGCUGUUAUUUUUUCUCUCUUUGUGCUCGGAAAUAAAAUAUCUUUAAUUGCCUGAGCAUGAGAGAAGUGCAGUAUAGAGGAAAGAAAUCCGUGUCUUAAGAAGUAACUAAACUAGGGUAUACCUUAAGUUCAGAACUUCUUGUACUAUAGUCAAGUAAAAGGGAAAAAGUUUUUUAUCCCAUGUUGAUACUUUAAGGAAACAGGAAAGAUUUCGUGACAUAGUAGGUAUUUUAUUGAUUCCAACACACCUAUACUAGUAGAUGAGUGUAUAUUACUUUCUGGCAACUGAGGAAUUUUCUGGAAGCUGAGGUUUUCAUCAUAUUUAGUUCCUGUAAAUCCCCCCCCCCCCCCCCACACCCCCAAAAAAAAAGGACAUAAAGAAAAAGAUUCUCCCUUAAAGGUUAUCGCAGGGUUCCUUCAUUUUGCAGUGAACCCUAUCUCAAUGGUCAUACACAUGAAUAAUCUUUUAUCUGUUCUGGCACCAGUGAAUGCAUUGAAGCGAACAUUUAUUAUGUAUGCAUGUUCUCGAGCAGACAAGACAGAUGUUGCACAUCUUCUGUUGCUUCAAUUUUGAUGUGGAAUUUUCUAAUUAUUCGUCUUUACAUCUCCAUUUGAUAUGAUAGUGGUUUUCUCCAUAAUAAUCUGGUAUGAGCCCUAAGAUUGUAAUGAUGGAUUAAAUAUAACCACCAGUAUCCCUAUGUCCUUCUGGGAUAUAUCUGUAGCAAAAUGAGUGUAUGAAUCACCAAAAUUGGUGCCUAUUUUGGAGGUCCACUAGAACACAGGAUUAGUAGGCCGCUCGAUUGUAGGAUAAGUGGAGAUUACUUGGCUUUUUAUGUGGCUGAAAGAGUGAUAACGAUGCCCCGGCUUGCAAUAGCGAAGUUUGGAAUAAAUGGUAUCUUUAUUGAUUCUGAAGGUGAUGGGAGGAGAGUUAUUAGAUCUGGCUUCUAAUGAAGAGGAGAAUUUGAUAGAAGAUAGAGUGAGAGAAUUACCACUUAUAAAUAACUGUAAGGCAUGUAGUUUCCUUUAACUAUCUAGUACUAGAACUUUCCCGAACAUUACCUGCUCAACUUUUUACAUGAGUUUUAGCCUUUUCUCAUACAGUGAAGGAGACUUUUCCAUUUUAUAUUCCUUCAUGAUAGUCUCUUUCUGGUUAUUAUCUUGGCUCAUCUCUUCCCCGCUAUUCUUCUCUUCUUCUUUUAACACUCUCCCGCUACCAGCAAACAAUUCAUCAAAGCUUUCCUUUUUCUUUUUCUUUAUCUCUACAUCUUUAUUUGACACCAAUAUGUGAGGAAAAUGAGAAGGAGAAUAAGCUACGGACUGAGGGUGUUUGUUGGUGGUGCGGGAGGGGAGGAAGAAAGAAAAGAAAAAGGAGAGGAAAGGAGGCGAUAUUGAUUGUGGAGGUUGGGAAAUACAAGCAAAGGAAAACGAAAAACAAAGAAAACUUUUGCCCUUAGCCUACGGGAUAAUUCAAUGGAAUGGAGUUAGGGCCUGCAUUUCAUAGAAGGAUGCUUAAAGUGCUCAAAAGAUAGCUUAGGAGGUAAAGUACUUCAAUAUCUAUCCUUAGGUGGGAGGCUCACUUUAAUUAAUGGUGUGCUGGAUGUAAUUCCUACAUAUUUGAUGUCUCUUUUCCCCAUCCCAGUCAGUGUGGAAAAGAAAUUUAAUCGUAUGAGAAGUCAGUUUCUUUGGGAGGGGAAGGCUGAGAGGAAAAAGUAUCAUUUGGUAAAGUGGCAGGAACUUAUUAAAGACAAGAAAGGUGGUGGUUUAGGAGUUAAAAAUUUAAAGCCCCAUAACAAGAGUCUGUCGUUCAAAUGGUUGUGGAGAUACAAGGAAGGCUGAGAGGAAAAAGUAUCAUUUGGUAAAGUGGCAGGAAGUUAUUAAAGACAAGAAAGGUGGUGGUUUAGGAGUUAAAAAUUUAAAGCCCCAUAACAAGAGUCUGUCGUUCAAAUGGUUGUGGAGAUACAAUGAUGGUGGAGAGAAAAUCUGGAAGCAGGUUAUUGACAUCAUAUAUGGUAGAGAAGGCUUUUGGGCACCUCGUGCAGUAUCUAUACCAUCAAAAACUGGAGUAUGGAAGCAAAUAAGUAGAUUAUGGCUCGAAUUUCAGAAAUUCAUCUCAUUCAAGCUCGGAAAUGGAAGCAGAAUCAGGUUCUGGACAGAUGUCUGGCUAGGUGAUGAUAAACUGAUGAACAAAUUUCCUACAUUGUAUAGUUUAACCAGGAAAUACACAGUGUACUACUUGAUGCUAGUACAUUGGACUCUCAGAUUUGGCCAGCUGGGAAAGAUGGCAAAUUCUCAGUAAAGAGCUGUUAUACUCUUUUGCAAAAACAAAUAGGUCACUGGGAUUUGACUUGGCCGUGGAAGAUGUUGUGGAAAUCACAAGCACCUCCUGAAGUAGCUUGCUUUGGCUGGACUGUAGUUAGAAAUGCAUGUUUAGCUCAAGAUAUGUUGCAGAGAAGGGGAACUCCUCCUUUGUGCAGUAGAUGUUUUUUUUGUGAAAAUUCCCAGGAAUCUGCAGAACAUCUUUUUUUGCACUGCAAUUAUACAAGCCAGAUAUGGAAUCUGUUUCUCGCUCUGACUGUUGUGCAAUGGGUGAUGCCAAAGAAGGUGAAAGAUCUAUUGGUUUGUUGGCAGAAUCAAAGAGUCGGGAAAAAUCUAAAGCGAAUCUGGAGGACCAUACCUCUUUGCAUCUUUGCACCAUCUGGUUGGAAAGAAAUAAGAGAUGUUUUAAAAAUCAGUAGAAUCAUUUAGCUAGUGUUAGAAAUAGUUGUCUUCAUAACUUAUACUUUUGGUGUAGGGGAAGUUUGGCAGAAGACUUAGAUCAGUACAUGGAUUUUAUAGAAGUUUUGAGAUUGUAAUAGUUUUCGGCAGUGCUGAAAUUUUGUAUGCUUUCUGUACCUUCUUGGUACUUUUUUAAUGAAAUUUACAUUACCUUAUAAAAAAAAAGAACUUCAAUAAAAUUUUCAGAUAAAUUGCUAAGUGCUAAAUAGCAAGUAGGUUUUCUUUGGAUCGAUUAAAUAGCAAGUAGUUUAGUGAAGGAACAAUUCAUCUCUUCUGGAACAACAAAAGCUCUAAUAGAUAACUCAAUGGAAUAGAAGAUUCUGAGGUGACAUUUUGAUUUGUUUUUGGUUUAAUUCCUGGAAGUUAGGUUUUUGAGAAAGUUGUGUAAUUUGGAGAAAGGUUAUGUAUUAGUAUUACCUUUGAGCAAUAUGCUUUUAAGAAUAGUUGUGCUAGUUUUGUGAAAAAACUACCUUAAAUUGCUUUGUUUUUUGGAAACCAUUUUUGUUUGAUUUCAAGAAAACAAUGUCUGUUUUGGGGACAGUUCUUUAAAAAACUUUCCAUGUAAAAUGGACUAGGUAUUCAAACACUUCAAGAGUUCAAAGAAGGAAAGACUUCGGUUUGUUAAAUGAGAUGACUUCUGUGAGGAACACUAUUCCAAUAUUAGAUAAUGGCUGCCUUCCAAUUCCAAUUCCAAUCAAGAGGUUUGGAGAUCGGGAGAGUGGAAAGUUCCAUUGUUGGCCUCCGUGGAGGGUUUGGUUUGGGAUUCACCAAAUAAAAUAAAACUACAACGAACAUCAAGUUACCAAAAUAAGUCCAACCUUAUGGAUUUAACAAUAUGGUCAACAUGCCUUUGGAUAAGUUUAGUCCAAAGGUAGUUGGAUAAGUUAUUCACUCACAACAUGAAAAAUUAUGCUAAUUAGAAAAAAGAGCUUACCGAUGAUUCUCUUGCAGGUUCUCUAGUUGUUGCCUCAGCAAUGCAGCUUCCCUUUGCCAAAACUGCACAAAAAAGAUAUAAAUUUGUAAAUUUGUUCAAUAAGAGAGAAAUCAAUAAAUGUUUUUUUGUGUUAUGACUACAGUAAUGCAGAAUUACUGGCAAACCAAGCUCAACUUUUGUUGCCACAUUCAACUGGAAAUGCUACUUAGGUUUGUUUUUCAUGACCCAUCUCUCUGGUGGCCCAAGUUUAGUGAUAAGUUAAUCUUCCAACACAUAUCUUUUACUCUUUUAAUGAUGGUACAGGACAAGGUUAAUAAGAUCGCUUCACAUAUCAAAAGCCAUAACAAGCCUUUCAAAAAUGGUUUAAAGAAAAUAAUGAGCUGUUGUUGCUUUCUAGAAUUUGUAUCAUUAACCCAAAUAAAAAACAAAAUACCAUUUCAAAAGCAAACAAAAAUAAAAUAUGUCUAUUUGUUUUUGUAAAAGUAUUUAGUCCUUUUCACAGUCAUUUUUGAAUUUUAUUUACUAUAUUAUUUUAAAUUUUUUAUGACAAUUGACGCUAUUGGUUCGUCAUCUAGUACUUUCAUUCACCUCCCAAUACAACUUAAGGUUGCAACCAUAUCUGUUGGUGCAAGAUAGAACCCUUGUGGCUUGGAAUGGAUGACUAUAAAUUUCACUGCAUUGGGAUAGUAUGACGAGGCAAAGGCCUCUUUUUGGUUUGUUAAAUGAGUGUUUAGUUUAUAAAAUGUCCUAGUUCAAGUAUACAAGGGCAUCUAUAGGUGUUUAUAAAGGUUAUGGGGUAAUUCAUAUAUUACUUUUAAGAUUUUUGAGCUGGUACUCAAAUUUUUUAACAUAGUACCGAAGCGAAUAUUGAGAAAUCCAUUCUCUCACUAGUAAGUUCAUAUUAAAGUCCAUGUGUGAAUUCCAAAAUCGGGUUAUAUGUGUGGGAAGGUGUUGAGUUAUAUAAAGCCUAUGACAUCCAAAAUGGUUUAUAAGGUCUCAAGUUACUCCACUCAUUCCCUUGCUAUUUUGGAUUGGAUGCUCAAAUUCUUUUACGAUGACUAGUUACAAUUGUAGUAUAGGUAUUGCCGAUGUGUUAUUUUAAAAAGUUGUCCCUCAUUGUGUGUAACUUAAUUGGAAAUGCACGUGUGCUUAGUUUUCUCACUAGGCUACGAUUUCUUUAUGGCUAGAUACAGUUUAAUAGGUCAGCAAAUUUAUAAUGAAUCUAAGGUUAUAAAUUGGACAUCAGAGAUAAGGAGGUAGACAUGUAAAAAUUGGACUAAGAAUGGAGAAUCUCGUCUGAACCCUCGAUUUGAUUGUUUUCCAAGAAUGUUGAGCAGGUAUGUAAGCCAUGUACCUGGGAAGAGUACUAGAGUGAUUCUUUGCAUAAUUUUUCUAUUUUCUAAUUACAGUAAAAACUUGUUCCUUCAUAUUCUGUUACACCUUGUAACUUUGAGGUUGUAUUGAGAAGUUUUUAUAAGUAGGUGGUUGCAUUAUAUGUGAUAUCAUGGUAUCAAGGUGAAAAAUGUACAUAAAACCAUUUAUGUUCCAAUCUCAGGCAGUUGAAUUUUGAGGUGAAGAUUUAAUCUAUGUCCAAAUAUGACUUGUGUUUGUCUUACUGUAGUUUACUAGCAAAAUAAGAUGAAUUUUUCUCUCGACAGGAAAAUAUAUUAGACUUAUGGAGGACUGAAAGUAAUUGGAAAUGCAAGGGGUUGUUAAAUUAGUUAUUACCUGUUAAAGUGAAUGAGAUGGACGACUCUUGUGCAUAUGAUAGUCCAAACCGGUCAACAUUUAUCAUGCAUGAAGAUGUUGAGUUUGAGAAAAAGGGAAUCUUUUAACUAAUUGUGUAUGCCUGUCUUUAGGGUUCUACACUAGCUCCUACCCAUUACCCCUGUUUCUGAAUGUGGGCGCUUCUAUUCUAUUCUUUGGUUUAAGCAAAUAAUUGUGGGAAUUUAAGUGAUUUGAGAAUUUAAGUGAUUUGAGUAUAAGGUACAUGAUUAGCGUGCAUCUAGGUGUGCAGCAUGAGAGCUGGGAUAUCCAUUGGCUAAUUGUUUUUGCAUCUCCGGAAGUUGUUGCAUCUUCAGUGAGUUGACAGUACUUGACAUUUGGUUCAAAUGAUGGUAUGACUUAUUAUGGAAAAGGAUAUGCAGGAUUAUAUCUCUUGGGUUCAGAUGUAGCUCUAAAUUGUGGCCAGUCAGUCUAGCCUCAUCAUUUUACUCAGGGUGUUUGCAUUAGCUGAAUCGCUUAGAUUCCUAUAAUAUAGUAAACCUUUUUUGCUUUUCUUCAAGUACAGGAAAUUAGGACUUGGAAUCCUGAUUGGAACUUAUGCUAUAGUUCUAACGAGAUGCUCGAGUAUUUGUGUACUGUUUUAAGUAAGUGCCAUAGACAUGAGCAGUGGAUGUCAUGAUGGUGGCAUUAGCAUCUGAGGACAAAUCUCAGUAUAUGCUAAAUCAUGGCAGCACGGAGCAGUCAUAUUUGGGUUAAAAGGCACCUGAUUAAGGGGGACCAAGAGCUGCUUUUGUGAUCAAUCUUACCAGAAAAUACAGAACCACCAUUUCCAGAUCUCCUUGCUCUAACUGAACUAUUAUGGCACUCUGUCAGAUAAAAAUCCCCUGAACACAGGAAGAGUUUCUGUGCUAUGCUGAGAUCUAAUGCAGCUAUACAAGAGACUGGUACCUCACUUCAGUUUGGCAGUAGUAUCAGGGCCAUGUAACUUCUAAAAAUGUGAAGGUCCAGAGUUUCUGUUAUUUUCCCUUUAAUCACAUUUUCUUCACCUAUGUUUUGACCUGCAUCAUUGAAUACUAAUCUGUAAAGCAGAACGAACUAUAUUUUGAUGGAAAUUUUUAUUCUCUUGCAGCUUCUCAUAGUCCAAAGAACACACACCUUCUGACUUCUGUUUCCCCUGCACCAAUUGCAAAGAAGGAUUAGAUGAUUAGUCUUGAAAUAGUGGAAAGAUGACAUGACUAAGCUAAGAUUCGUGACAGUCUUAUAGAGCUGGAUACUGUUGUUUGAACCAGAGACCUUCAACCAGUGCUAUCCCAGAAUGUCAUUAUGAUAAUGCAACGAGUGGCCAAGUUUGUAACAGCUCCAUGUUUGUUGUCAUCUUGGUAUAAAGUUUAGCAUCCUCAGUUUUACUAUCUUCUGUUCUAGAAGAUAAUUCUUUAGAGACUUCAACUUGCAACAUCAAUAGUGCCACAUUCAAAACUGAUUAGCUGGGAUAUGAUUAGAGGGUAAAUAUAAGAGUAUAAUUCCACUGUUAAGGAAAUGGAGUGACCCUAAUGGUCAUAAUCCAGGAUAACUGCUGCGAAAUAUUGUCGGAUGCCUUUUAGUUCCUAGAGGAAAAGUGCUAAGCGCCAGAAUGACUUAAAAGCUCUUAAAUUCUCGGACAGUCGUUUGAUCCUUCGAACUAUUAACUGUCAAGAACUUCCAUGUUUCUAAAAGCAGUUUGAGCUUCUUUAUCUUAGCAUUUGUGUGUAGUCAUCGCCAGGAUUUGCAGUAUGAAGACAGCAGAUGGGUCUAAAAGAAUAGACUUGUCAAUAUAAGAGUGUUGUUCCUCAUUUGCUACUUUUUGUCGGGCACAGGUCAUGAAAUGAUAUUCCCAUUGAUUCCAAAAUGCUAUUGAUAAAUGCAGUCACUGCAUAAGGUUCUUGAUUGGCGCAUCUAAAGUGUGUGUAUCUCUUCUGUGGGAGGAAAUUAAUUUGUCCAGAGUCCUUGUUCCAAUUGCUAGACCUGCAUUAGUUCAUCAAACUUCCUGCCCUGUGCUAGCAUGAAUAUCUACUCCCUCUCUGAGGUGCCCUACAAUGUAUACCUAAAUGACAAAGCCAAAGUCUUUCGCGCUAAAGAUGAAAUUAUCUUGUUUUCAAACAGUUUAGAGCUUUUUUACAGGGAAUGUCUUGACAACUCUUUUCACUUACCAGUUUAUAGAUGUCGCAAGCCUUUUUCAUAUGUGCUUUUUUGUUGUUGUUUCAGUUCCCAUACCGAAAUAAAGUGGAGUUGCAGAAGUAACCCUAUAAAAUAUGCUUCCUUGAUGAGCCAUUAAGCCAUUUGGGAUGCUUUCUUCUUAUUAUUAAAAAGUCUUCCUACUUGGCACCACCUCUGUAGCUAUGUUGUGCUUCCAGUAGUGGAAGAUAUGCAUGUUCCCGCUCUUCUAGAUCUUCUUCUGAUUGCCACAACACUAAUGGAAUUAUAUUUGCCCUUUCCAUUAAUGGAAUUCAUCAUAGGUUCCAUCUUUAGUUCAUUCCUCCAUUUCUCCAAAUAGCCGGGGUGGAAUGGAGAUGGUAGAACAGGUAUCAGCUAAUGAGGAUCUCCAUUCUCUCUGCCCAUUUGGUUGUGGAAUUGAUUGACGCAUCCUUUCAUGCAUGUGCAUGUUCUUCUCCUCAAUAUUAGAAUCAUAAUCCAACGAUCCAGGGAUCCAAGUUCAUGGAAUCAAUCCAGAUCACGGGUACAACUAAGAGAGGUUGAAUUGGAAUAUUGUGUAGCUGCUGGCAUCCAAGUUCUGUAGAAUUGGGAUCCAAGUUCAUGGUAUCAUUCCAUUUUUAUUAAUUUUGAAAGUAUAAAUUGUCCUUGAGAAUUCUCUUGUCAUGCUAGUGGUCUGCUGGCAGCAUUACUAUACUGCCUAUAGAUUCUAGACUUUCUGUGCUCCUGGGAGGGCUUCACACCGAC
This 15969-nucleotide long non-coding RNA is filed under the name Nicotiana tabacum (common tobacco). RNAcentral describes it as "long non-coding RNA (NTAB_LNC002509)". The record is from RNAcentral. Lineage: Eukaryota; Viridiplantae; Streptophyta; Magnoliopsida; Solanales; Solanaceae.